AGAAGUUCUAAUGAUCAGAAGUCAUUUCAGUUUAUAUACGUUUUUAGAAAUUGGAAGUUUUCCUUCUGAUCUGAUCCAUUUUUACCCUCUAUGUUUGCAGUCAUAUUACCAGUUCCUCAAACACAAAUUUAAAGCAGAGCUGCACCUCUGUCUUCUGAUGAGCAAGGGGAAUGAUGCUGUCUCAAGAAACUACAGGAUUCUGACCCAGAUCUAUGUUAGGAUGGAAUUAUGGUUACAACUCUCAGACUAG
Molecule: long non-coding RNA, 250 nt
Organism: Cyprinus carpio (common carp)
Lineage: Eukaryota; Metazoa; Chordata; Actinopteri; Cypriniformes; Cyprinidae
Source: Ensembl